RNAcentral lists this transfer RNA (63 nucleotides) under Moniezia expansa (sheep tapeworm). RNAcentral's name for it is "tRNA-Gly". Lineage: Eukaryota; Metazoa; Platyhelminthes; Cestoda; Cyclophyllidea; Anoplocephalidae. The record is from RNAcentral.
AUGUUACUAGUAUAAGUUAAUAUUACAUUUUUCCAAAAUGUGGAUCUGUGGUCAGGUGACAUA